CCCGCUGAACUUAAGCAUAUCAAUAAGCGGAGGAAAAGAAACUAACAAGGAUUCCCCUAGUAACGGCGAGUGAAGAGGGAAGAGCUCAAAUUUUGAAUCUGGCGUCUUUGGCGUCCGAGUUGUAAUCUAGAGAAGUGUUUUCCGUGGCGGACCGUGCACAAGUCUCCUGGAAUGGAGCGUCAUAGAGGGUGAGAAUCCCGUAUAUGGCACGGACUCCCGUUGCUCUGUGAUACACUCUCAACGAGUCGAGUUGUUUGGGAAUGCAGCUCUAAAUGGGUGGUAAAUGCCAUCUAAAGCUAAAUAUUGGCGAGAGACCGAUAGCGAACAAGUACCGUGAGGGAAAGAUGAAAAGAACUUUGGAAAGAGAGUUAAACAGUAUGUGAAAUUGUUGAAAGGGAAACGUUUGAAGUCAGUCAUGUUGGCUGGGGAUCAGCCUGACAUUUAUGUUGGGUGUACUUCCUGGUUGACGGGCCAACAUCAGUUUUGGCUGCCAGAAAAAGGCCAAGGGAAUGUGGCACCUUUGGGUGUGUUAUAGCUCUUGGUCGUAUGUGGUGGUUGGGACUGAGGAAAGCAGUGCGCCGAAAGGCAGGGUUUCGACCACAUUCGCACUGAGGAUGUUGGCAUAAUGGCUUUAAGCGACCCGUCUUGAAACACGG
This 656-nucleotide ribosomal RNA is filed under the name uncultured fungus. RNAcentral describes it as "eukaryotic LSU rRNA". It matches the Rfam family "Eukaryotic large subunit ribosomal RNA", at positions 24 to 664 of the family's 3401-position model. Lineage: Eukaryota; Fungi. The record is from RNAcentral.